RNAcentral lists this ribosomal RNA (166 nucleotides) under uncultured Sphingobium sp. Its description in RNAcentral is "partial 16S ribosomal RNA". It matches the Rfam family "Bacterial small subunit ribosomal RNA", at positions 338 to 521 of the family's 1533-position model. Lineage: Bacteria; Pseudomonadati; Pseudomonadota; Alphaproteobacteria; Sphingomonadales; Sphingobiaceae. The record is from RNAcentral.
CCUACGGGAGGCAGCAGUAGGGAAUAUUGGACAAUGGGGGCAACCCUGAUCCAGCAAUGCCGCGUGAGUGAUGAAGGCCUUAGGGUUGUAAAGCUCUUUUACCCGAGAUGAUAAUGACAGUAUCGGGAGAAUAAGCUCCGGCUAACUCCGUGCCAGCAGCCGCGGU